AGCUCGUAGUUGAACGUUCGGGUUCCGCGGGACGGGGCCGCCCCGCGAGGGACGGCGCCGCCCCGGGGCUCGUGAUAUCUCAUCUCGCCGCCCGUCGCGAGGCGGACGGAGGGAUGGAUGAGGUUACCUGGAAAAAAUCGGGGCGAUCUAGGCGGGCGAACCUCGCCAACGAACGAUCGGACAUGGGAUAACGGAAGAGGGCGUCGGCUCGACUUCGUCGGUUCCUCGGGCCGAGGCACGUACGGUGAAUAGGGACGGUCGGGGCCGCCCGUACCGGGUCGUGAGAGGUGAAAUUCUAGGAUCGACCCGAGACGAACCGCCGCGAAAGCAUUCGGCAAGGACGCUUUCAUUAAUCAAGACGAAAGUCGGGGAUCGAAGACGAUCAGAUACCGUCGUAGUCCCGACCGUAAACGAUGCCGACCGAGGG
Molecule: ribosomal RNA, 427 nt
Filed under: uncultured eukaryote
Lineage: Eukaryota
Description: bacterial SSU rRNA
Rfam family: Eukaryotic small subunit ribosomal RNA
Source: RNAcentral